RNAcentral lists this ribosomal RNA (253 nucleotides) under uncultured bacterium. RNAcentral describes it as "partial 16S ribosomal RNA". It matches the Rfam family "Bacterial small subunit ribosomal RNA", at positions 524 to 776 of the family's 1533-position model. The record is from RNAcentral.
UACGUAGGUGGCAAGCGUUGUCCGGAAUUAUUGGGCGUAAAGGGCGUGUAGGCGGCUAAAUAAGUCAGAUGUGAAAUGCCAAGGCUUAACCAUGGAGCUGCAUUUGAAACUAUUAGGCUAGAGGAUCGGAGAGGGCAGUGGAAUUCCCAGUGUAGCGGUGAAAUGCGUAGAUAUUGGGAGGAACACCAGUGGCGAAGGCGACUGCCUGGACGACACCUGACGCUGAGACGCGAAAGCGUGGGGAGCAAACAGG